AAGAGCGAACCAACCACUUCUUCAGUGUGUGUAGGAAAGCUCUCAGCUUUCCACUGCCAAAUUACUCGGCACUUUCUCGCUUUCUCUUUUGAUCUCUUGCUAUAAUUCAACGUCUUAAGUCUCAGAAGUCUUCGCCAAUGAAGAAGUUAUCAUCAAUUUUUGGUUCUCUACAUCUUUUUUAAUAAUAUUCUUGGUACUAUUUCUGUAAUCCCAACAACUUUCUUUUUAAUAACUUUCUUCCUUAAUUGCCCAUGCAAAGCCUUUUGCACACAAGGCCACCACAACAUCUACUUUUCGUUAUCAUCAGUUGUUUCAUUCAUUGCUAAUCAUCUCUCUUACAUGACCGUCCUGCUUCUCUUUGUGUGAUCUUUUUUCGGGGGAAAGCUCAUUUCUUUUUUCUUCUCUCUUCCUUGAAACAAGAAAGUUUCUUUUCUUCUGUGACCCGCUGAUUGAUGCCCAGAAUUUAUUUUUUUUCUGGGAUUUUUUUAAAGCCCCUGAAUUUUUUAUUGUUUGGGGCUUUUGGGUGCUGGGAUUUAUUUGAAAUUGUGUGGUAAUUGGGGUGAUAUGGGGCCUCCGAGUCAAGGUGAAAAUAGUAGGGAGAGUUCUAGUGGAAAGAAGAGGUUAAGUGGGGAAAGUGAUGGGGGAGAUUGGACGGGGAAGAAAGUUAGGAUCUUUGAUGGGAUUGAUGGAAAUCUAGAGGUUUUUCAUGGGAUUGAUACUGAGGAGGAGGAAAGAAAUGAGAAUCAGGCAAUGGGUUCUGGGGAAGAAAGGGGAGUUUCUUGCACUGAUGAAUUGUGUGGCUUCGAUCUUAACGUGGCGUUGAUCGAUUCAGAGGAUGAUGAAUUUGUACCUGAAGCUGUAAAUAGGAAGGUUGACAUUAUUUGCAUUCCAUCUGAUGAUAGUGAGGAUGAGGAGGGAAUAGGGAUUGUUGCACAUGACGUCAAAGGAAAGGGGAAGCUCAUUGUGGAAGAAACUAAUAAUGAGCUUCUUGAGAAUAUUGAUUUUGGAUUGGGACUAAUGGGCAGGAGUUAUGAUGGAAAUAGUUAUGUCAGUGAUGGGAGGAGAUACACCAGGGAAGAGAAAGGGAAAGCUAAAAUUGUUGAUUCUUGGUUGUCACUUGCAACUAAUCCAACUCAGUUGGAGUUACAAACAAGAAGCCAGGAUUCAAUACAGUUUGAAUUACAACCAGGAAGCCAGGAUUUGAAAAGGUUUAACCACACAAGUGAGAAUGGUUACCAAGUGGAAGGCUCAGAGUCGAGCACAGAAUUCGCGCGUAGAAAACAUGCAGAAUAUGAUAUUGAGAUGCAGACACUGAGACACAGUGAACUCCGGAGAAAUGCUCAUAAAUUUGCGCGGUGGGCGGAGAAUGGAGAUGUAUCUUCUAGUCAGGAAAAGCCUCCACUUGAAGAUCUACUGGGAAAAUCUCCUGGUCCUUUUUCUACUGCUCUGAAUAUGGUUAGAGACCGAACGUCCUGGCGAUCCAGGCAACUUAUUGAUUGGAAACCCUCUGACAAUGGCUGCAAUUCAUUUAGACCCGUUGUUCCUUCACUUCUGGAUCUCUCCCUGAAAGCUCUUGCAGCAAAAGCUGAGGCUAUAGUUUCACUUGAACUUGUUCCCGAUUUCCUCAGGCGAAAGCUCGCUGACUGUAUCUGUAAUCUCCGGAAAAUGGAUGUUCACACUUUUGAACUCUUUGUUAAAGGAUCUCCAACGGAGAUACGUAUAAAGGACUGUUCAUGGCUAACAGAUUGCCAUUUUUCAAAGGCAUUUGGAAAUUUUGAUGCUAAAAAUUUGAAGGUACUUGAACUUGAAUUAUGUGGGCAAUGUCCAUUUACUUUGGCUGGGUUGAGCUUCCCCGACCUAGGUGUCUUAUCAUUAAAGGGUGCAUGUCGUCUAUCCAACGAUGGGCUAAAAGCAUUUGUCAAGUCAGCACCUGAAUUAGAGUCUAUAAAUUUGAGCCACUGCUCCCUUCUUACCAAUGUUGGCAUCAAUUUCUUGGCCGAUUCUUUGGGAUCCAAGUUGAGGGAGCUGUAUAUUGAUGAGUGCCCGAAAAUAGAUGCAAUGCUUAUCCUACCUGCAUUGAGGAAGUUUGCAUACUUGGAGGUCUUGUCUGUUGCUGGAAUUCACACUGUGUCUGAUCAAUUUGUUGACGCCGUAGUUAACACAUGUGGGAAAACUCUAAAGGAGCUUGAUUUGUCCAAUUGUCUGGGCUUGACCAAUGGUUCCCUCAGAGCCAUUGGAGAUAACUGUAGUGGUUUACAUUCAUUAAACAUUUCAAACCUAGAUAAAUUGACAGAUCUUGCAUUACAAUUCCUUGCUGAUGGUUGUCAGCACAUUCAAACACUUAAACUUUGCCGCAACAAAUUCAGCGAUGAAGCAAUUGCGGCAUUCUUGGAAGCUUCUGGAGAGUCUUUGAAGGAACUAUGUCUCAAUAGUGUUACUUCGGUGGGAAUUACACUGUGCUGUCAAGUGAAUAUGUUAUUUUAGGUUUUUUGGAAACACGCAAUUCGUGUUGGCCCUUGCACUGCCUUUUCGCUCGCCAAAUGUUCGAGAAAGUUGUUGGUAUUGGAUUUGUCGUGGUGUCGCAAAUUAACGGAUAAGGCACUGGGAUUGAUUGUUGACAGCUGCUUGUCACUGAAGUUGGUCAAACUCUUUGGUUGUACACAGAUCACAAAAUCUUUUGUAAAUGGGCACUCAAACACACAAGUGCAGAUUAUCGGGUUGCAGUUGACACCAAUACUGGAAAAUGCAGAAUCUUCAGGAACACUGUCGCGCUAUUCACCCGCUGAAAGUUUUGUCUGAUGCAAUGUAAAUCACCAAAAAAUCAUGGUAGCAUGAGAAAUUAGCCUAUUCUACUAUUGCUUUGUAUCACUUUCUGUGGCAUUCACAAUCACUGUUAAACUGGUAUGCUUAUGCAGCAUCAACUCAUUUCUUGCUCUACCUGAAGAUAAUAGAAUGGUGACCAUGGGAGCCCCCUGUGCAUAUUUACCAAAUGCAUUAGAAAGUUUAUGCU
RNA transcript from Coffea arabica (coffee), 3010 nucleotides. RefSeq lists it as uncharacterized. The record is from RefSeq and is a predicted model, not a curated record. Lineage: Eukaryota; Viridiplantae; Streptophyta; Magnoliopsida; Gentianales; Rubiaceae.